RNAcentral lists this small RNA (160 nucleotides) under Beta vulgaris. Its description in RNAcentral is "c-di-AMP sequence". The stretch from base 36 to 160 matches the Rfam family "c-di-AMP riboswitch aptamer (ydaO/yuaA leader)". From Rfam's summary of the family: This family represents a conserved RNA structure found upstream of the ydaO and yuaA genes in Bacillus subtilis and related genes in other bacteria. The ydaO/yuaA element is thought to act as a genetic "off" switch for the ydaO and yuaA genes in its native state. It is believed that the element may be triggered during osmotic shock leading to activation of ydaO, a predicted amino acid transporter gene, and members of the yuaA-yubG operon which code for KtrA and KtrB K+ transporters. Lineage: Eukaryota; Viridiplantae; Streptophyta; Magnoliopsida; Caryophyllales; Amaranthaceae. The record is from RNAcentral.
AUCGUUUGAUUGCCGAAUUCGCACCGUUGUUAGAGGCCUUAAAUCGGCCAAGCAAAUGGUGCGCAGCGGGGGACCCAGAUCGUUUUGGGGCUAAUCCAAUUGUGGACGGGGAUCUUCGCCCCGAGCCCGACAGCUAACCUCGUAGGCGAACGAAGCACCU